CCCUAAAUCCCUGAGUCCCCUGCACAACUCGGGAGACUGAGGAGGACUGCCUCCAGUUCAAAGCCAGCCCAGCUACAUACUCAGCUCCACAUCAGCCAGGGCUACAGAGUGAAGACAGAAAAUACCCCGUUUAAAAAAAAAAUCACUGCAGUUCAGCAUCAUAGCUGCUGAUGAGAUUGGAUCUGCUUUCCUGGACGAGCCAACACUGCCCCCCAAAGGAAUGGGAAGGAACCGGACCAUACAGACAGCAAGUAGUGGAUCGUGGGGCAGCAGCCAGGAUCCAGUCCUCCCAAGUAGCCAGAGAUAGAGCCUUACUCUGGACUUCCCAGCCUACAACACUGUAAGAAACAAAUAUCUGUGUAUAAGCCAGCUUUCAAGAGCCUGGACAGACUAAGAUGGCCAUCCUCUGAAGAUGCCAUACAUUGCAUUCUGUGUUUAAAUCUUCAGUCUGUCCUGAGUUAAUGUGCAGUGGGCCAGGAUUAGGUCAGUUCUCACCAAAUGCUUCUCUACAUUUUAUUAAUAGGGUUGUAGUUUUUCUUCCCCCUGCUUUUCCAAUGAAUUAAACUGAAGUUUAUUGGUUUGGUUUA
RNAcentral lists this long non-coding RNA (587 nucleotides) under Mus pahari (shrew mouse). RNAcentral's name for it is "predicted gene, 44214 (MGP_PahariEiJ_G0005058.1)". The record is from RNAcentral. Lineage: Eukaryota; Metazoa; Chordata; Mammalia; Rodentia; Muridae.